GCUGGGGAUGUGGCUCAGUGGUAAAGCCCCUCUGAUUUUCCCUGGUACUGAGAGAGAGAGAGAGAGAGAGAGAGAGAGAGAGAGAGAGAGAGAGAGACCUUUAAGGGGAUAUAGUGAUGGGGCAGAGAAGGAUUGGCUUGGCCCAGUCCUGCCCAGGCAGCUUGGCCCCCAGCUAGCACUCCAUCCCAAUGCUUCACCCCAGUCAAGGGCCCUUUCCUCUUAGGCUGCAUAUUUAUUGGCUCCUAGGUUUCUUGGAUACUGAGGCCAGGCUGACCAGCCCUCAGGACAGAACUGAAGGUCUGGACCAUGCUCCCUGAGUUUAAAGGUAAUUGUUCUCAUCUCUUCCUGUGUGAAGACUGGGUAGGGGAGGAGGCUCACCCAAGAUCACACAGUGAAUCAACAAUGACUGGUCCCAGAUAGUGCCCCUCAGCCAGGUGGAAGAUCAUGGCUCAAUGAACAUCCUUAUGGCUCACAUUCCCAAGACUCUGAGAGGUGCCUGGGAGAGACACCCGUGUGCAGGAGAACCUUGGUCAUCCUGUGUUUUAGUUAGCUUUGCGUCACUGUGACCAAAAUACCUGACAAGAACAACUUAGCGGAGGAUAAGUUUAUUUUGGUACAUAUGAUCAGAGAUCUCAGUCCAUAGAUGGCUGACUCCAUUGCUCUGGGCUCAAGGUAUGGCAAUGCAUCAUGGCUGAAGAGCCCAGCAGUGGAAAACUGCUCAGCGCAUGGCGGGGUCAGGAAGCAGAGAGAGGGGGAUGGGGCCAGAGGGAAGAUGCACUCUGUCAGGGCCCUCUCCUCCAGGGGCCCACCUUCUCCUGCCAUGCCCCACCUGCCUACAGUUCCCACCAGUCAUUCCAUUUCAACUAGAAUGGACUGAUUAGGUCACAGCUCCCCCAAUCCAAUAUUCUUGCUCUAAGAGGAGCUUUGGGAGAUACCUCAUAUGGAAACCAUAGUACCCUGGAUGGCGUAUACAGUGAGGGGUGAGGCAGGUUCCCUUCCGGGGAGCUGAAUGAGGAUUCAGGGUUACCCUGGGGACCACACAUCCCCUGGUUAGGACCCAUUCUCCUGCAUAGAAUCGUGUCCGCUAAGUGAAGCUAGCCAAUCCCUAAAAAACAAAUGCCAAAUGUCUUCUUUGAUAUAAGGAGAGUAACUAAGAACAGAGCAGGGAGGAAGAGCAUGAGAAGAAGAUCACCAUUAAACAGGGAUGAGAGGUGGGAGGGAAAGGGAGAGAGAAGGGAAAUUGCAUGGAAAUGGAAGGAGACC
Molecule: long non-coding RNA, 1263 nt
Filed under: Marmota monax (woodchuck)
Lineage: Eukaryota; Metazoa; Chordata; Mammalia; Rodentia; Sciuridae
Source: RNAcentral